This is a non-coding RNA of Misgurnus anguillicaudatus (oriental weatherfish), 1155 nucleotides long. Lineage: Eukaryota; Metazoa; Chordata; Actinopteri; Cypriniformes; Cobitidae. The record is from the annotation of a RefSeq genome assembly.
AUCUGAUUUAAAUGCAUUUCAUGUAGUCAAGAGACUACAGAUAAAUAAUAGAAGUAAAACCAGAUAAACAGAGUAGCACCUACACAUUAAAGACAGUGAUAUUUAUAUUAAAAUAAAGCAUUUUAACCUUUAAUGUUUUAGAAGUGUGUUUCUCCCACAAGAGGGCGACAUGGAGGAUUGCACUUUGCACACAUAUGUGUAAAUCAUCCACCAUACUGUAAUGUCCAAGGCAGUACAUAAACCAGUGUUGCAAAGUAUUUUCAUGUACACGGUGUGACUAUACAAAUCACAACACAUAAAUAGGAAAAUGUUUGCGUUAUUUUGUCACUUAUUGGGAGCAGUUUGCUAGCUGGAGCCAUUCACUUUCAGUCUUUGUGCUAAGCUAAGCUAGUGGGGGCUGCAUCAGACAGAGUUACAGCACGCACGGAGAUGAGAAAGGUAUGUAUGGACUUAUGUAACUCUGGGGUAUAUGGUGAAUAAGCUAAAGUACCAAAAUGUGGAUCUGUUCCUUUAAAGGUAGGUUGCCAGCUUCUUUUACCAGAGGGUGGAGCUCUGCAGUCUUUUGUAUUAAAGCAGCUGCAGUUAAAUUGAUGUCUUUUUUCAUAACAGAGUUGAGACUUUCAGCAUUCACUUCACCAACCAUGUUUAUUUUAGUAUUGAUUGUUUUUUCACUGUUUAAUGAGAGCGUUCGUGCAUAUACAAUAUCAUCCGUCUCAUCAGAGGUGCAUGUUUUAGCUGGAGAAAAUGCUGUUAUCUCUUGCAGUUACACAGGCAAUGGUCCCAGCUUUCAGUGGUAUCGCCAAUAUCCAAGAUCCAGACCACAAUACCUUAUAUUUCAUACAGAGAUCAAUGAGGCAUCUGAACCCACUUUACGUCUCAGAGCGAUCCCAAAUAAACAGUCCUCUCGUGUGGAUCUGGAGAUCUCAUCUGCUGCUGUAUCAGACUCUGCUGUGUAUUCCUGUGCCCUGGUGCCCACAGUGACAGGAAACACAACAACACUGUACAAAAACUUCUUUCAUCUGUUCACUUCACAAAAAAAUACAACAGUUUUCACUGACUUGAUUUUUGAUGCAACAUUUUUCAUAUUUGAAGAGAUCACCAAUUUUUAGAAUAUAAAAAGCACCGAAUAUAUACUGUAAAAGCCAAUAAAAAGGG